RNAcentral lists this ribosomal RNA (3029 nucleotides) under Salmonella enterica subsp. enterica serovar Weltevreden str. 1655. RNAcentral describes it as "bacterial LSU rRNA". It matches the Rfam family "Bacterial large subunit ribosomal RNA". Lineage: Bacteria; Pseudomonadati; Pseudomonadota; Gammaproteobacteria; Enterobacterales; Enterobacteriaceae. The record is from RNAcentral.
GGGUUGUGAGGUUAAGCGACUAAGCGUACACGGUGGAUGCCCUGGCAGUCAGAGGCGAUGAAGGGCGUGCUAAUCUGCGAUAAGCGCCGGUAAGGUGAUAUGAACCGUUAUAACCGGCGAUACCCGAAUGGGGAAACCCAGUGUGACUCGUCACACUAUCAUUAACUGAAUCCAUAGGUUAAUGAGGCGAACCGGGGGAACUGAAACAUCUAAGUACCCCGAGGAAAAGAAAUCAACCGAGAUUCCCCCAGUAGCGGCGAGCGAACGGGGAGGAGCCCAGAGCCUGAAUCAGCAUGUGUGUUAGUGGAAGCGUCUGGAAAGGCGCGCGAUACAGGGUGACAGCCCCGUACACAAAAGCGCAUGUGCUGUGAGCUCGAUGAGUAGGGCGGGACACGUGGUAUCCUGUCUGAAUAUGGGGGGACCAUCCUCCAAGGCUAAAUACUCCUGACUGACCGAUAGUGAACCAGUACCGUGAGGGAAAGGCGAAAAGAACCCCGGCGAGGGGAGUGAAAAAGAACCUGAAACCGUGUACGUACAAGCAGUGGGAGCCCCACCACCAAAGCAUUCUCUGGUGUUGAAGGCCCUGCAAAGCAGCAUCGCGGUGGCGGAGCGUCGUUUGCGACGCCCAACACACAAAACAAGCGGUGAGUGCUUUGGGGUGGGGUGACUGCGUACCUUUUGUAUAAUGGGUCAGCGACUUAUAUUCUGUAGCAAGGUUAACCGUAUAGGGGAGCCGGAGGGAAACCGAGUCUUAACCGGGCGUUAAGUUGCAGGGUAUAGACCCGAAACCCGGUGAUCUAGCCAUGGGCAGGUUGAAGGUUGGGUAACACUAACUGGAGGACCGAACCGACUAAUGUUGAAAAAUUAGCGGAUGACCUGUGGCUGGGGGUGAAAGGCCAAUCAAACCGGGAGAUAGCUGGUUCUCCCCGAAAGCUAUUUAGGUAGCGCCUCGUGAAUUCAUCUCCGGGGGUAGAGCACUGUUUCGGCUAGGGGGCCAUCCCGGCUUACCAACCCGAUGCAAACUGCGAAUACCGGAGAAUGUUAUCACGGGAGACACACGGCGGGUGCUAACGUCCGUCGUGAAGAGGGAAACAACCCAGACCGCCAGCUAAGGUCCCAAAGUCAUGGUUAAGUGGGAAACGAUGUGGGAAGGCCCAGACAGCCAGGAUGUUGGCUUAGAAGCAGCCAUCAUUUAAAGAAAGCGUAAUAGCUCACUGGUCGAGUCGGCCUGCGCGGAAGAUGUAACGGGGCUAAACCAUGCACCGAAGCUGCGGCAGCGACGCUUAUGCGUUGUUGGGUAGGGGAGCGUUCUGUAAGCCUGUGAAGGUGGCCUGUGAGGGUUGCUGGAGGUAUCAGAAGUGCGAAUGCUGACAUAAGUAACGAUAAAGCGGGUGAAAAGCCCGCUCGCCGGAAGACCAAGGGUUCCUGUCCAACGUUAAUCGGGGCAGGGUGAGUCGACCCCUAAGGCGAGGCCGAAAGGCGUAGUCGAUGGGAAACGGGUUAAUAUUCCCGUACUUGGUGUUACUGCGAAGGGGGGACGGAGAAGGCUAUGUUGGCCGGGCGACGGUUGUCCCGGUUUAAGCGUGUAGGUGUGUGUUCCAGGUAAAUCCGGUUCACUUUAACACUGAGGCGUGAUGACGAGGCACUACGGUGCUGAAGCAACAAAUGCCCUGCUUCCAGGAAAAGCCUCUAAGCAUCAGGUAACAUCAAAUCGUACCCCAAACCGACACAGGUGGUCAGGUAGAGAAUACCAAGGCGCUUGAGAGAACUCGGGUGAAGGAACUAGGCAAAAUGGUGCCGUAACUUCGGGAGAAGGCACGCUGACAUGUAGGUGAAGUGAUUUACUCAUGGAGCUGAAGUCAGUCGAAGAUACCAGCUGGCUGCAACUGUUUAUUAAAAACACAGCACUGUGCAAACACGAAAGUGGACGUAUACGGUGUGACGCCUGCCCGGUGCCGGAAGGUUAAUUGAUGGGGUCAGCGCAAGCGAAGCUCCUGAUCGAAGCCCCGGUAAACGGCGGCCGUAACUAUAACGGUCCUAAGGUAGCGAAAUUCCUUGUCGGGUAAGUUCCGACCUGCACGAAUGGCGUAAUGAUGGCCAGGCUGUCUCCACCCGAGACUCAGUGAAAUUGAACUCGCUGUGAAGAUGCAGUGUACCCGCGGCAAGACGGAAAGACCCCGUGAACCUUUACUAUAGCUUGACACUGAACAUUGAGCCUUGAUGUGUAGGAUAGGUGGGAGGCUUUGAAGUGUGGACGCCAGUCUGCAUGGAGCCGACCUUGAAAUACCACCCUUUAAUGUUUGAUGUUCUAACGUGGACCCGUGAUCCGGGUUGCGGACAGUGUCUGGUGGGUAGUUUGACUGGGGCGGUCUCCUCCUAAAGAGUAACGGAGGAGCACGAAGGUUGGCUAAUCCUGGUCGGACAUCAGGAGGUUAGUGCAAUGGCAUAAGCCAGCUUGACUGCGAGCGUGACGGCGCGAGCAGGUGCGAAAGCAGGUCAUAGUGAUCCGGUGGUUCUGAAUGGAAGGGCCAUCGCUCAACGGAUAAAAGGUACUCCGGGGAUAACAGGCUGAUACCGCCCAAGAGUUCAUAUCGACGGCGGUGUUUGGCACCUCGAUGUCGGCUCAUCACAUCCUGGGGCUGAAGUAGGUCCCAAGGGUAUGGCUGUUCGCCAUUUAAAGUGGUACGCGAGCUGGGUUUAGAACGUCGUGAGACAGUUCGGUCCCUAUCUGCCGUGGGCGCUGGAGAACUGAGGGGGGCUGCUCCUAGUACGAGAGGACCGGAGUGGACGCAUCACUGGUGUUCGGGUUGUCAUGCCAAUGGCACUGCCCGGUAGCUAAAUGCGGAAGAGAUAAGUGCUGAAAGCAUCUAAGCACGAAACUUGCCCCGAGAUGAGUUCUCCCUGAGACUUUAGGUCUCCUGAAGGAACGUUGAAGACGACGACGUUGAUAGGCCGGGUGUGUAAGCGCAGCGAUGCGUUGAGCUAACCGGUACUAAUGAACCGUGAGGCUUAACCUUACAACGCCGAAG